RNAcentral lists this transfer RNA (71 nucleotides) under Candidatus Levybacteria bacterium RIFCSPHIGHO2_01_FULL_40_58. RNAcentral describes it as "tRNA-Ile". It matches the Rfam family "tRNA". Rfam says of the family: Transfer RNA (tRNA) molecules are approximately 80 nucleotides in length. The record is from RNAcentral. Lineage: Bacteria; Candidatus Levyibacteriota. RNAcentral also lists the same sequence under 5 other names.
AGGCCCGUCGUUCAACGGUAGGACACGACUCUUAUAAAGUCGACACGAAGGUCCGACUCCUUCCGGGCCUA